RNAcentral lists this ribosomal RNA (437 nucleotides) under uncultured Oscillospiraceae bacterium. Its description in RNAcentral is "partial 16S ribosomal RNA". It matches the Rfam family "Bacterial small subunit ribosomal RNA", at positions 341 to 792 of the family's 1533-position model. The record is from RNAcentral. Lineage: Bacteria; Bacillati; Bacillota; Clostridia; Eubacteriales; Oscillospiraceae.
ACGGAAGGCAGCAGUGGGGAAUAUUGGGCAAUGGGCGCAAGCCUGACCCAGCAACGCCGCGUGAAGGAAGAAGGUCUUCGGAUUGUAAACUUCUUUUAUGAGGGACGAAGGACGUGACGGUACCUCCUGAAUAAGCCACGGCUACCUACGUGCCGGCAGCCGCGGUAAUACGUAGGUGGCGAGCGUUAUCCGGAUUUACUGGGUGUAAAGGGCGCGUAGGCGGGGAUGUAAGUCAGGUGUGUAAUCUAUGGGCUUAACUCAUAAACUGCACUUGAAACUGUAUCUCUUGAGUGCUGGAGAGGUAGAUGGAAUUCCUUGUGUAGCGGUGAAAUGCGUAGAUAUUAGGAAGAACACCAGUGGCGAAGGCGAUCUACUGGACAGUAACUGACGCUGAGGCGCGAGAGCGUGGGGAGCAAACAGGAUUAGAUACCCUGGUA